RNAcentral lists this unclassified non-coding RNA (344 nucleotides) under soil metagenome. RNAcentral describes it as "partial contains 5.8S ribosomal RNA, internal transcribed spacer 2, and large subunit ribosomal RNA". The stretch from base 1 to 120 matches the Rfam family "5.8S ribosomal RNA", at positions 35 to 154 of the family's 154-position model. The record is from RNAcentral.
GAUGAAGAACGUAGCGAAAUGCGAUAAGUAAUGUGAAUUGCAGAAUUCAGUGAAUCAUCGAAUCUUUGAACGCACAUUGCGCCCGCCAGUAUUCUGGCGGGCAUGCCUGUUCGAGCGUCAUUUCAACCCUCAAGCCCCCGGGCUUGGUGUUGGGGAUCGGCGUGCCCUCGCGGCGCGCCGUCCCCUAAAUCUAGUGGCGGUCUCGCUGUAGCUUCCUCUGCGUAGUAGCAACACUCGCACUGGAUCGCAGCGCGGCCACGCCGUUAAACCCCCCACUUCUGAAAGUUUGACAUCGGAUCAGGUAGGAAUACCCGCUGAACUUAAGCAUAUCAAUAAGCGGAGGA